RNAcentral lists this ribosomal RNA (465 nucleotides) under uncultured bacterium. RNAcentral describes it as "bacterial SSU rRNA". It matches the Rfam family "Bacterial small subunit ribosomal RNA", at positions 28 to 507 of the family's 1533-position model. The record is from RNAcentral.
GGUUAACGCUGGCGGGCGUGCCUAACACAUGCAAGUCGAACGGUUCUAAGCGCGAGCUUAGGAUAGUGGCGAACGGGUGAGUAAAAGGUAGGAAUCUACCCCUUGGACGGAGAUAGCUACUGGAAACGGUAGGUAAACUUCGAUAAGCCCGAGAGGGGAAAGUGGUGAGACAGCCGAGGGAUGAGCCUACUCUCCAUCAGGUAGUUGGUGAGAUAAAAGCUUACCAAGCCGAUGACGGAUAACCGGUGUGAGAGCAUGAACGGUCACAAGGGCACUGAGAGACGGGCCCUACUCCUACGGGAGGCAGCAGUGGGGAAUCUUGGACAAUGGGCGAAAGCCUGAUCCAGCGACGCCGCGUGGAGGAAGAAGUCCUUCGGGAUGUAAACUUCUGAACUAGCCGAAUAAAAGGCCUGUGGACACACAGGAGAAGAAAGUAGGCUAGGAAAAGUCCCGGCUAACUACGUG